This 494-nucleotide ribosomal RNA is filed under the name uncultured bacterium. RNAcentral describes it as "bacterial SSU rRNA". It matches the Rfam family "Bacterial small subunit ribosomal RNA", at positions 28 to 507 of the family's 1533-position model. The record is from RNAcentral.
GAUGAACGCUAGCGACAGGCCUAACACAUGCAAGUCGAGGGGCAGCAUGGUAUCAGCUUGCUGAUACCGAUGGCGACCGGCGCACGGGUGAGUAACGCGUAUGUAAUCUGCCUGUAACAGAGGGAUAACCCGGAGAAAUCCGGCCUAAUACCUCAUAGCACAUAUUAUUCGCAUGAGUUUUAUGUUAAAGAGACUCGGUUACAGAUGAACAUGCGUUCCAUUAGCUGGUUGGCGGGUAACGGCCCACCAAGGCAACGAUGGAUAGGGGUUCUGAGAGGAAGGUCCCCCACACUGGUACUGAGACACGGACCAGACUCCUACGGGAGGCAGCAGUGAGGAAUAUUGGUCAAUGGGCGAGAGCCUGAACCAGCCAAGUCGCGUGGAGGAAGACUGCCCUACGGGUUGUAAAACCUCCUUUUUAACCUGGGGAAUAACGGGGCGCUACGCGUAGCGCUGUGCAUGUACCGGAGAAGUAAGCAUCGGCUAAUUCCGUG